UAAUGGCCCACCAAGGCGACGAUCGGUAGCCGGACUGAGAGGUUGAACGGCCACAUUGGGGCUGAGACACGGCCCAGACUCCUACGGGAGGCAGCAGUGGGGAAUAUUGCACAAUGGGGGAAACCCUGAUGCAGCGACGCCGCGUGGAGGAAGAAGGUCUUCGGAUUGUAAACUCCUGUUGUUGAGGAAGAUAAUGACGGUACUCAACGAGGAAGUGACGGCUAACUACGUGCCAGCAGCCGCGGUAAAACGUAGGUCACGAGCGUUGUCCGGAAUUACUGGGUGUAAAGGGAGCGCAGGCGGGCGAUCAAGUUGGAAGUGAAAUCCAUGGGCUCAACCCAUGAACUGCUUUCAAAACUGAUUGUCUUGAGUAGUGCAGAGGUAGGCGGAAUUCCCGGUGUAGCGGUGGAAUGCGUAGAUAUCGGGAGGAGCACCAGUGGCGAAGGCGGCCUACUGGGCACCAACUGACGCUGAGGCUCGAAAGUGUGGGUAGCAAACAGGAUUAGAUACCCUGGUAGUCCACACCGUAAACGAUGAUUACUAGGUGUUGGAGGAUUGACCCUUUCAGUGCCGCAGUUAACACAAUAAGUAAUCCACCUGGGGAGUACGACCGCAAGGUUGAAACUCAAAGGAAUUGACGGGGGCCCGCACAAGCAGUGGAGUAUGUGGUUUAAUUCGACGCAACGCGAAGAACCUUACCAAGUCUUGACAUCCUGCGACGAUGCUAGAAAUAGUAUUUUCCUUCGGGACGCAGAGACAGGUGGUGCAUGGUUGUCGUCAGCUCGUGUCGUGAGAUGUUGGGUUAAGUCCCGCAACGAGCGCAACCCUUAUGGUCAGUUACUACGCAAGAGGACUCUGGCCAGACUGCCGUUGACAAAACGGAGGAAGGUGGGGAUGACGUCAAAUCAUCAUGCCCUUUAUGACUUGGGCUACACACGUACUACAAUGGCGUUAAACAAAGAGAAGCAAGACCGCGAGGUGGAGCAGAACUCAGAAACAACGUCCCAGUUCGGACUGCAGGCUGCAACUCGCCUGCACGAAGUCGGAAUUGCUAGUAAUCGCAGAUCAGCAUGCUGCGGUGAAUACGUUCCCGGGCCUUGUACACACCGCCCGUCACACCAUGAGAGCCGGGGGGACCCGAAGUCGGUAGUCUAACCGCAAGGAGGACGCCGCCGAAGGUAAAACUGGUGAUUGGGGUGAAGUCGAAACAAGGUAGCCGUAGGAGUACCUGCGGCUG
RNAcentral lists this ribosomal RNA (1237 nucleotides) under metagenome. Its description in RNAcentral is "bacterial SSU rRNA". It matches the Rfam family "Bacterial small subunit ribosomal RNA", at positions 258 to 1520 of the family's 1533-position model. The record is from RNAcentral.